Non-coding RNA from Paramuricea clavata, 2145 nucleotides. NCBI's taxonomy places the organism in Eukaryota, Metazoa, Cnidaria, Anthozoa, Malacalcyonacea, Plexauridae. The record is from the annotation of a GenBank genome assembly.
CUUACUUUAUAUGCAUAUUCGUCCGUUUCUUUACUCGAAACUUCGCUUGCGAGACGUCAGCCAACAGUGUUUUUGAAUUACAAGCUGUAUAAAGCGACAAUUUGGUGAUUAUAUGUUCUGCCCGUCGUCCCGUUUUUGUAUGAACUCGUGUUAUCCAAGCAUGCAAUUCUGCCAAUUCUUAGUUCGAUCAUGGUGGUAUGUUCUGAUGCAAUCUUGCCGAAACUAUUUCUAAACCUUGUACUAAAAUCGGCCCGUUUAACAAAAUGUAUUUUCUACCUGCAAGAUGUCUUGUGAUAAAUGCCUCAACCGGCCUUCUUCGAAAAUUUACAAAAAAAUUUGAAUAACAAAUGGUCAUUGUUUUGAGAUCACAUGCAUACUUUUAAACCGGUUUUCGACUAGUCGGAGUUUUGUGGGCGGAGCGGACGACGGCUAUUAAUGCAAUGGCAUUAAUCCCGUAGCACAAAAGAAAUAAAUAAUCAAAAGUCUAGCAAAUGAUUCCUAGCAGAUGACAACGCUGCAUUUGAACAUGAAACAAUUGCACAAAACAUCAAUUUUGUACCAAAAUCGGAUCUCUGGCAUUCUCUGCACUAUUUCUACAAUAUUUGUAACAUAAUUGGUUGAGACUAUUUUCCCCCAAUGGAAAAUUCACAUAUUUUGAUGAUAAACUCCAUGUUGAAUCAUGUUGCCUUACUUAAGCCCCCGCUUCGCCAACUCCAAUGACGAGCUUGUGUCAUGGUAUAUUACCAAAAGUUGUUUCGGUGAUGUUUACAACAUUGAACUGGGGGGGGGGGGUUAUUCAUUCGGGGGGGGGGGGGGGGGAGACAAAGUUUAUUCAUUAAGAUUUGGAUUAAAGGUGAUCUGCAGUCCGUAUGUAAACAAAGCCUUUGUUUACAUUUUUGUGUCCAAAAUAUUGAGCUUUAUUCGACAACUAUUUAUAUUUUCAAGCUUCUAGAGUAUAAUAAAUGAUCAAGAAACAACAAUUAGGCUUUUCAAGAACUCAAAACAGAGUUAAACUGUUUCUAUCAUAAAAAGUGGGCUCACUUGUGCACAUGCGCAGAUCGGACUGUAGAUCACCUUUAACGUUCGGAUUAAUCGUAGACCCAUUACAACCCAAUACUUUAUUGCAUACAAUGGCAUUACAACGCCAAUAGAUUAUUGGUUACAACGUGCGGAACGGCUGAAACUUCAACAUGGCCGCCAUCUAUUCAAUGGGGGUAACCGCUGGAAUAUUCUUGGCUUCAAUUGUACUAAAAGAGAUGCGCUAUCUAGUGUAAAUAAGAUAUCUAUGCUGCGGUCCCCAGUAGCGUAGCCAGCCCGACGAUUUAGUCCCGCUAUGCAAAUAUUUUCGUGUUCAUUGACUGUGAAAACAAUCAAUUUCUUUCAAUUUUUCUUUUUUUUUUUAUUUUUUUUUUUUAUUUUCAUUUUGAAUUUGCAUAGCGGGACUGAAUUGUCGGGCUGGCUACGCCACUGGCGGUCCCACUCAACUGUUCAUCUGAAGCGAAAUUAUGUAAAGACAAUCCAAUAUGGAGCCGAGAUGGAGAAUAUAAAGGACCAAGGGGCAAAUCACUGAACAUUAAAUCACAAAAAUAAAUCAAAGGACGUUGAGGCCGACUCAAGGAUGAGAUCAAUGAAAGUGACUGAAAGAAUUAGAGCAGUUUGCAGUUGUUUUUGCAAACGGGCACCAUGCGAAUUUUGCCAUUUGUCAUGCUUCUUUUGCCAAAUCAAAAGUCAAAAGAAUGAAAACGUGCUCCAGCCCGAUUUCCAGUUCUAAAAGGCCCAAUUCGCAGGCAAACAGUGCGUGCAAAGCAGGCUGGUCAUUUCCCAUUGUUUAGUUGCUUCAUACUCAGUAAGUCAAUCAAAGAUAACCAGAAUCCUGGUCACAUUUACCAGACUAUGGUAGGAAGUGAGAUAAAACAACUAGGAAAUUUAAUCAAGAAUAGUAAUUUAACCCAAAUAGGUUUAUUUCUUGGUUAAUCAGGAACAUUUUAACCAGGGUUGUUCAAAAGGAAAUUCCACAAAAAGAAAUUUAAUCAAGAAUAUUAAAUUGACCCAAAUAGCUUUAUUUUUAGGUUAAUCGGGAACAUUUUAACCUGGGGCCGGUUGUCCAAACGUCGGUCGGCUUAAUCCACAAUCUCGUACGCAGAG